UACGUAGGGCGCAAGCGUUAUCCGGAAUUAUUGGGCGUAAAGAGCUCGUAGGCGGUUUGUCGCGUCUGCUGUGAAAGACCGGGGCUCAACUCCGGUUCUGCAGUGGGUACGGGCAGACUAGAGUGUGGUAGGGGAGAUCGGAAUUCCUGGUGUAGCGGUGAAAUGCGCAGAUAUCAGGAGGAACACCGGUGGCGGAGGCAGGUCUCUGGGCAGUUACUGACGCUGAGGAGCGAAAGCAUGGGGAGCGAACAGG
RNAcentral lists this ribosomal RNA (253 nucleotides) under uncultured bacterium. RNAcentral describes it as "partial 16S ribosomal RNA". It matches the Rfam family "Bacterial small subunit ribosomal RNA", at positions 524 to 776 of the family's 1533-position model. The record is from RNAcentral.